Long non-coding RNA from Heterocephalus glaber (naked mole-rat), 301 nucleotides. Lineage: Eukaryota; Metazoa; Chordata; Mammalia; Rodentia; Bathyergidae. The record is from Ensembl.
GCAUGUUCACAUUUACUCCCUCUGUGGAAAUUGCUGGCAAGCACCUUGCAGUGGCCUCUGCUGCUCAGAGGGUUCAUGAGGCUGGUAGUUCAGGUCCCUUCCAGGAUUCUGCCUUGUGAUGCUGGAUAAUAGAGAAACGGAGAACUAGCAUCGCUUCUGGAUCUUUACACCUUCAGCACCCUGAAGUAAGUCUGAGAUGUGCAGAUGGUGGCUACACUAUCAGCCUAGAUCUGAGAGAGAGAGAGAAAAUACUUGUUAUCAGAUACCAAGAUUUUGGAGUUUCAAUGUGGGGAGUGAAAUU